This is a non-coding RNA of Cristinia sonorae, 96 nucleotides long. The record is from the annotation of a GenBank genome assembly. NCBI's taxonomy places the organism in Eukaryota, Fungi, Basidiomycota, Agaricomycetes, Agaricales, Stephanosporaceae.
GGUGAGAUGGCCGAGCGGUCUAAGGCGCCAGACUAAGGUGAUUCAGUCACGUGAUCUGGUCCGAAUAGGGCGUGGGUUCGAAUCCCACUCUCAUCA